This 500-nucleotide ribosomal RNA is filed under the name Kassina cochranae (spotted running frog). Its description in RNAcentral is "partial 16S ribosomal RNA". It matches the Rfam family "Bacterial large subunit ribosomal RNA", at positions 1945 to 2610 of the family's 2925-position model. Lineage: Eukaryota; Metazoa; Chordata; Amphibia; Anura; Hyperoliidae. The record is from RNAcentral.
ACCGUGCAAAGGUAGCACAAUCAAUCGUCCUCUAAAUAAGGACUAGUAUGAAUGGCACCACGAGGGCAUAACGUCUCCCUAUUCUAAUCAAUGAAACUGAUCUUCCCGUGAAGAAGCGGGAAUAUUAUUAUAAGACGAGAAGACCCCAUGGAGCUUUAAACUAAUUGCCACCUGUCUUCUUUAGAUCAAAAAAUUUGACAGCCCUGUUCUAACAAUAGUUUUCGGCUGGGGUGGCCUUGGAGCAAAACAAAUCCUCCAAGCUGAACGGAAUAAGCCCCUUAUCCUAGAAUUACAAUUCAAAAACUCAAAAAUUUGACAUAAUUGACCCAAUAAAUUGAUCAACGAACCAAGUUACCCUGGGGAUAACAGCGCAAUCCAUUUCAAGAGCCCCUAUCGACAAAUGGGUUUACGACCUCGAUGUUGGAUCGGGGUAUCCUAGCGGCGCAGCCGUUGCUAAAGGUUCGUUUGUUCAACGAUUAAUAACCCCACGUGAUCUGANU